Molecule: long non-coding RNA, 513 nt
Filed under: Mytilus galloprovincialis (Mediterranean mussel)
Lineage: Eukaryota; Metazoa; Mollusca; Bivalvia; Mytilida; Mytilidae
Source: RNAcentral
CAUUUUUUAUACGACCGCAAAUUUUGAAAAAAUUUUCGUCGUAUAUUGCUAUCACGUUGGCGUCGGUGUCGUCGUCGUCGUCGUCGUCGUCGUCCGGCGUCCGAAUACUUUUAGUUUUCGCACUCUAACUUUAGUAAAAGUGAAUGGAAAUCUAUGAAAUUUUAACACAAGGUUUAUGACCACAAAAGGAAGGUUGGUAUUGAUUUUGGGAGUUUUGGUCCCAACAUUUUAGGAAUUAGGGGCCAAAAAGGGCCCAAAUAAGCAUUUUCUUGGUUUUCGCACUAUAACUUUAGUUUAAGUUAAUAGAAAUCUAUGAAAUUUUGACACAAGGUUUAUGACCACAAAAGAACAGUUGGGAUUGAUUUUGGGAGUUUUGGUCUCAACAGUUUAGGAAUUAGGGGCCAAAAAAGGGCCCAAAUAAGCAUUAUUCUUGGUUUUCGCACAAUAACAUUAGUUUAAGUAAAUAGAAAUCAAUGAAAUUUAAACACAAUGUUAAUGACUACAAAAGGAAGG